This 460-nucleotide ribosomal RNA is filed under the name uncultured bacterium. RNAcentral describes it as "partial 16S ribosomal RNA". It matches the Rfam family "Bacterial small subunit ribosomal RNA", at positions 338 to 795 of the family's 1533-position model. The record is from RNAcentral.
CCUACGGGUGACAGCAGUGAGGAAUAUUGGUCAAUGGGCGCGAGCCUGAACCAGCCAAGUAGCGUGAAGGAUGACUGCCCUACGGGUUGUAAACUUCUUUUAUAAAGGAAUAAAGUGAGGCACGUGUGCCUUUUUGUAUGUACUUUAUGAAUAAGGAUCGGCUAACUCCGUGCCAGAAGCCGCGGUAAUACGGAGGAUUCGAGCGUUAUCCGGGUUUUUUGGGUUUAAAGGGAGCGUAGAUGGGUUGUUAAGUCAGUUGUGAAAGUUUGCGGCUCAACCGUAAAAUUGCAAUUGAUACUGGCAGUCUUGAGUACAGUGGAGGUAGGCGGAAUGCGUGGUGUAGCGGUGAAAUGCAUAGAUAUCACGAAGAACUCCGAUUGCGAAGGCAGCUUACUAACCUGCAACUGACACUGAUGCUCGAAAGUGUGGGUAUCAAACAGGAUUAGAUACCCGAGUAGUC